CAAUAGCGUAUAUUUAAGUUGUUGCAGUUAAAAAGCUCGUAGUUGGAUUUCGGGUGGGACGCAGCGGUCUCGCAUUGCGUUUGUACUGCUGCAGCCCUCCUUCUUGCCGGUGGCGGCCUCUCGGACUUCACUGUCUGGGGGUCAGAAUCGGCGAUGUUACUUUGAGUAAAUUAGAGUGUUCAAAGCAAGCUUACGCUCUGAAUAUAAUAGCAUGGGAUAACACGACAGGACUCUGGCCUAUCGUGUUGGUCUAUAGGACCAGAGUAAUGAUUAAGAGGGACAGUCGGGGGCAUUCGUAUUCCGUUGUCAGAGGUGAAAUUCUUGGAUUUACGGAAGACGAACAUCUGCGAAAGCAUUUGCCAAGGAUGUUUUCAUUGA
Molecule: ribosomal RNA, 378 nt
Filed under: uncultured eukaryote
Lineage: Eukaryota
Description: partial 18S ribosomal RNA
Rfam family: Eukaryotic small subunit ribosomal RNA
Source: RNAcentral